GACGAACGCUGGCGGCGUGCUUAACACAUGCAAGUCGAACGGAAAGGCCCUGCUUGCAGGGUACUCGAGUGGCGAACGGGUGAGUAACACGUGGGUGAUCUGCCCUGCACUUCGGGAUAAGCCUGGGAAACUGGGUCUAAUACCGGAUAGGAGCCAUUUUUAGUGUGAUGGUUGGAAAGUUUUUUCGGUGUAGGAUGAGCUCGCGGCCUAUCAGCUUGUUGGUGGGGUAAUGGCCUACCAAGGCGGCGACGGGUAGCCGGCCUGAGAGGGUGGACGGCCAAAUUGGGACUGAGAUACGGCCCAGACUCCUACGGGAGGCAGCAGGGGGGAAUAUUGCACAAUGGGCGCAAGCCGGAUGCAGCGACGCCGCGUGGGGGAUGACGGCCUUCGGGUUGGAAACUCCUUUCGCUAGGGACGAAGCUUUUUGUGACGGUACCUAGAUAAGAAGCACCGGCUAACUACGUG
RNAcentral lists this ribosomal RNA (465 nucleotides) under uncultured bacterium. RNAcentral describes it as "partial 16S ribosomal RNA". It matches the Rfam family "Bacterial small subunit ribosomal RNA", at positions 28 to 507 of the family's 1533-position model. The record is from RNAcentral.